CUGUGUAAAUUUGCUGUCACCUCUAAAUAACUCAACACACAGCCAUUAUUGCCUAAACCGCUGGCAACAAAAGUGAGUACACCCCUAAGUGAAAAUGUCCAAAUUGUGCCCAAUUAGCCAUUUCCCUCCCUGGUGUCAUGUGACAUGUUAGUUUUACAAGCUCUUAGGUGCAAAUGGGGAACAGAUGUGUUGAAUUUGGUAUUAUUGCUCUCACACUCUCUCAUACUGGUCACUGGAAGUUUAACAUGGCACAUCAUAGCAAAGAAUUCUCUGAGGAUCUGAAAAACAGAAUUGUAACUCUACAUAAAGAAGAAUAUUGACAACACCCUGAAUGUGAGCUACAACAUGGUGGCCAAGGCCAUACAGCACUUUAACAGGACAGGUUCCACUCAGAACAAACCUUAUGGCUGACCAAAGAAGCAGCUACAGCAACCACAGCAGCAUCACAAACAACGACAACAGUCACAAAAAACAACUACUACUGCAGCUCCUGCAACAACCACGACAACCACACUGGCCAUUACAGUGGCACCAACAACCAGGAUAGCAGCACCAACAACCACAUCAACCACCACUGCAGCACCAACAUCGACCGCAGUCCCACUAACAAUCAUCACAACCACACUGACCAAGACAUCAGUGCCAAAUACCACUACUGUCGCAUCAACCACCAGACCUCCAGGGCCAACAACAACUAAGGCCAGACCAACAAAUACAACAGCAGCAUUAACAACUACGGCCCCAACAACAACCACAACAGCAGCAGCAACGACCACAACCGCACCAACAACCACCACCUCUGCACCUACAACAACCACAGCAUCUCCAGUGACAUCCACCGCAGUACCAUUAGCCACCACAGCCCCACCAAUAACCACCAAUGAAGCACCAACAGCCUCGACAGUUUUACCAAAAACCAUGAGAGCAGCAUCAACCACAAACCAACAACCACCACUGCAGUGCCAACAACCACCACAACAGCAAUACCAACAAUGACAGCAGUGACUUCAUCAUUAAAGAAACAGACAAUUGUAGGCACCUGUGAGGUGGAGGCGUUCCCCAGACUGACCUGUUAAAGGGGAUAGUGAGCGCAGAGACAAGAGGAGAGACGCACGAAGGGUGAGCUGGAGAAAAAGAAAUGCGUGUAAGCCCGCACAUGUGUUGGAGGACCUGCUGCCUGACUGUGGGGUGCCACUAGUCGUUCGACGAUCCAGUCCCAACGGCAGUAACAGCAACAGUGGAUGGCGAUGGCCGCAAUUCACAGCAGGGCAGGGGUGCCCCUCUGCCUGCAUCUGGCGGUGCUACGAGGAAGGCCGUGUUCAGGUGUGGAGUGGGGCGGGACUGUGCGGUGACGCGCUGUCAGGAGGAGACAGGUCUGCGACAGGAGCCCCCUCCUUGUUCUUCUGGCCGGCGUGGUUUCCAUUCCGGAAGAGAAAUUCCUCUCCUGUUUCAGAUAAGGAACAUCUGCCCGCGUGUGGCUGAACUCCACCUCUGCUCGAGGCAAGGAAAAUGGCAAGGAAAAAAAUGUUCGUGUCUUGUUGUCAGCUUUCAAUUAAGAAAACAUGUACCAGACACAUUCCUUAAGUUCCACUCACAAGUAUCUUAAAACAAUAUGAAACACUGGUUUUUGCUUCACAUUGUAAAAUACUGGCAAUGUCCCACCUUUAACUGUCAUUACUGCACAACAAGACAACAAAUGCUCUGACCUGAGCUCUUAUCUUUAUAUUACAAUUUUAGGUAUUUUCCUCCUCUAACUGUCAGGGUCCUGGGUCCCCUGACCCAGCAUGUUUAAUUCUUUAUGAUUUUUGUAGUAUUGUUCUUGUGAGUUGUAUCGUUUCUAGUUUCGAUCCCUUGCCCUUCGUUUUUCUCUGUGUCCCCUCUGUUCUGUGUAGUCUGUCUGCAUGUUGAGUUUCCCUCUGUGUCUUUCGGUUCUUAGAGUCCUCUGUCUUAUGGUUUAUGUCUCUGUGUUUCUUAGUUGCUGUCUCCACUGUGCCAAGUUCGUGUCUCUGUGUCAUACUUCCUGUUUUACUUUGAAAGUCCGUGUCUUAUGUGAAUGUGUCCUGCUUUGCUUCCUUGUCUCGUCAGUCCUGAUUUCUC
This is a long non-coding RNA of Oreochromis niloticus (Nile tilapia), 2097 nucleotides long. RefSeq lists it as uncharacterized. Lineage: Eukaryota; Metazoa; Chordata; Actinopteri; Cichliformes; Cichlidae. The transcript has 3 exons. The record is from RefSeq and is a predicted model, not a curated record.